RNAcentral lists this ribosomal RNA (2925 nucleotides) under Staphylococcus aureus. Its description in RNAcentral is "23S ribosomal RNA". It matches the Rfam family "Bacterial large subunit ribosomal RNA". Lineage: Bacteria; Bacillati; Bacillota; Bacilli; Caryophanales; Staphylococcaceae. The record is from RNAcentral.
UAGAUUAAGUUAUUAAGGGCGCACGGUGGAUGCCUUGGCACUAGAAGCCGAUGAAGGACGUUACUAACGACGAUAUGCUUUGGGGAGCUGUAAGUAAGCUUUGAUCCAGAGAUUUCCGAAUGGGGAAACCCAGCAUGAGUUAUGUCAUGUUAUCGAUAUGUGAAUACAUAGCAUAUCAGAAGGCACACCCGGAGAACUGAAACAUCUUAGUACCCGGAGGAAGAGAAAGAAAAUUCGAUUCCCUUAGUAGCGGCGAGCGAAACGGGAAGAGCCCAAACCAACAAGCUUGCUUGUUGGGGUUGUAGGACACUCUAUACGGAGUUACAAAGGACGACAUUAGACGAAUCAUCUGGAAAGAUGAAUCAAAGAAGGUAAUAAUCCUGUAGUCGAAAAUGUUGUCUCUCUUGAGUGGAUCCUGAGUACGACGGAGCACGUGAAAUUCCGUCGGAAUCUGGGAGGACCAUCUCCUAAGGCUAAAUACUCUCUAGUGACCGAUAGUGAACCAGUACCGUGAGGGAAAGGUGAAAAGCACCCCGGAAGGGGAGUGAAAUAGAACCUGAAACCGUGUGCUUACAAGUAGUCAGAGCCCGUUAAUGGGUGAUGGCGUGCCUUUUGUAGAAUGAACCGGCGAGUUACGAUUUGAUGCAAGGUUAAGCAGUAAAUGUGGAGCCGUAGCGAAAGCGAGUCUGAAUAGGGCGUUUAGUAUUUGGUCGUAGACCCGAAACCAGGUGAUCUACCCUUGGUCAGGUUGAAGUUCAGGUAACACUGAAUGGAGGACCGAACCGACUUACGUUGAAAAGUGAGCGGAUGAACUGAGGGUAGCGGAGAAAUUCCAAUCGAACCUGGAGAUAGCUGGUUCUCUCCGAAAUAGCUUUAGGGCUAGCCUCAAGUGAUGAUUAUUGGAGGUAGAGCACUGUUUGGACGAGGGGCCCCUCUCGGGUUACCGAAUUCAGACAAACUCCGAAUGCCAAUUAAUUUAACUUGGGAGUCAGAACAUGGGUGAUAAGGUCCGUGUUCGAAAGGGAAACAGCCCAGACCACCAGCUAAGGUCCCAAAAUAUAUGUUAAGUGGAAAAGGAUGUGGCGUUGCCCAGACAACUAGGAUGUUGGCUUAGAAGCAGCCAUCAUUUAAAGAGUGCGUAAUAGCUCACUAGUCGAGUGACACUGCGCCGAAAAUGUACCGGGGCUAAACAUAUUACCGAAGCUGUGGAUUGUCCUUUGGACAAUGGUAGGAGAGCGUUCUAAGGGCGUUGAAGCAUGAUCGUAAGGACAUGUGGAGCGCUUAGAAGUGAGAAUGCCGGUGUGAGUAGCGAAAGACGGGUGAGAAUCCCGUCCACCGAUUGACUAAGGUUUCCAGAGGAAGGCUCGUCCGCUCUGGGUUAGUCGGGUCCUAAGCUGAGGCCGACAGGCGUAGGCGAUGGAUAACAGGUUGAUAUUCCUGUACCACCUAUAAUCGUUUUAAUCGAUGGGGGGACGCAGUAGGAUAGGCGAAGCGUGCGAUUGGAUUGCACGUCUAAGCAGUAAGGCUGAGUAUUAGGCAAAUCCGGUACUCGUUAAGGCUGAGCUGUGAUGGGGAGAAGACAUUGAGUCUUCGAGUCGUUGAUUUCACACUGCCGAGAAAAGCCUCUAGAUAGAAAAUAGGUGCCCGUACCGCAAACCGACACAGGUAGUCAAGAUGAGAAUUCUAAGGUGAGCGAGCGAACUCUCGUUAAGGAACUCGGCAAAAUGACCCCGUAACUUCGGGAGAAGGGGUGCUCUUUAGGGUUAACGCCCAGAGGAGCCGCAGUGAAUAGGCCCAAGCGACUGUUUAUCAAAAACACAGGUCUCUGCUAAACCGUAAGGUGAUGUAUAGGGGCUGACGCCUGCCCGGUGCUGGAAGGUUAAGAGGAGUGGUUAGCUUCUGCGAAGCUACGAAUCGAAGCCCCAGUAAACGGCGGCCGUAACUAUAACGGUCCUAAGGUAGCGAAAUUCCUUGUCGGGUAAGUUCCGACCCGCACGAAAGGCGUAACGAUUUGGGCACUGUCUCAACGAGAGACUCGGUGAAAUCAUAGUACCUGUGAAGAUGCAGGUUACCCGCGACAGGACGGAAAGACCCCGUGGAGCUUUACUGUAGCCUGAUAUUGAAAUUCGGCACAGCUUGUACAGGAUAGGUAGGAGCCUUUGAAACGUGAGCGCUAGCUUACGUGGAGGCGCUGGUGGGAUACUACCCUAGCUGUGUUGGCUUUCUAACCCGCACCACUUAUCGUGGUGGGAGACAGUGUCAGGCGGGCAGUUUGACUGGGGCGGUCGCCUCCUAAAAGGUAACGGAGGCGCUCAAAGGUUCCCUCAGAAUGGUUGGAAAUCAUUCAUAGAGUGUAAAGGCAUAAGGGAGCUUGACUGCGAGACCUACAAGUCGAGCAGGGUCGAAAGACGGACUUAGUGAUCCGGUGGUUCCGCAUGGAAGGGCCAUCGCUCAACGGAUAAAAGCUACCCCGGGGAUAACAGGCUUAUCUCCCCCAAGAGUUCACAUCGACGGGGAGGUUUGGCACCUCGAUGUCGGCUCAUCGCAUCCUGGGGCUGUAGUCGGUCCCAAGGGUUGGGCUGUUCGCCCAUUAAAGCGGUACGCGAGCUGGGUUCAGAACGUCGUGAGACAGUUCGGUCCCUAUCCGUCGUGGGCGUAGGAAAUUUGAGAGGAGCUGUCCUUAGUACGAGAGGACCGGGAUGGACAUACCUCUGGUGUACCAGUUGUCGUGCCAACGGCAUAGCUGGGUAGCUAUGUGUGGACGGGAUAAGUGCUGAAAGCAUCUAAGCAUGAAGCCCCCCUCAAGAUGAGAUUUCCCAACUUCGGUUAUAAGAUCCCUCAAAGAUGAUGAGGUUAAUAGGUUCGAGGUGGAAGCAUGGUGACAUGUGGAGCUGACGAAUACUAAUCGAUCGAAGACUUAAUCAA